RNAcentral lists this ribosomal RNA (319 nucleotides) under uncultured eukaryote. RNAcentral's name for it is "partial 18S ribosomal RNA". It matches the Rfam family "Eukaryotic small subunit ribosomal RNA", at positions 1470 to 1796 of the family's 1831-position model. The record is from RNAcentral.
CCCUUAGAUGGUCUGGGCGGCACGCGCGCUACAAUGAUGCAUUCAAAAGGUCUUCUGACCUUAGAAGGUUGGGUAUUCUCCAAAGUGCAUCGUGAUGGGAAUAGUUUAUUGCAAUUUUUAAUCUUGAACGAGGAAUUCCUAGUAAGUACAGGUCAUCAACUUGUGUUGAUUACGUCCCUGCCCUUUGUACACACCGCCCGUCGCUCCUACUGAUUGAGUGUCUCGGUGAAUUCUUUGAUCUUCUGUCGAUUCAGUUCACUGAUCCGACGGUGGAAAGUUGAAUGAACUUCGUCACUUAGAGGAAGGAGAAGUCGUAACA